GGACAACAUAACUACAAUGUGCUCAUAUAUAUAUAUAUAUAUAUAUAUAUAUAUAUGUACACAAUGUAACAGAGAGAGGCCUGAGAGGAAAAUAUGAGGCGACAACGGGCGAGCAUCCUUUUGCUCUUUGGGAUGAAAGUGCGGGGUCUGUGUAAAAACUGUGUGUACAAAGAUAGAAGUAGCCUGCGAGGAUCUGUGUGUGUGCGUGUGUGAGUGUCGAGAGGGAGGUCGACGGCACGUGUCGUGUCUGCGUGGAGGGUGCGUGGCAAACACGCUGCCUCGAGGGGAUCUCCCGUGACCCUUAUCUGCGCGUCUCUGGGGACGCCUUUUAGCCCCUCCUGGGAUGCAAAUGAGCGGCCAUAAAACAGAGGCAGAUACAGCUACAGAGACGGUGGUGGAGGAGAAGAAAGCGAAAUGGGACCAAGGGGAGAAUGGAGGAGGAGGAGGAGGUGAUAGGGCAAGUGUACGCUCAUGCGGAAAUACACAGACCUUUGAAGUGGCCCUCUGUCACCACAUGGCAGAUCCCCCUAGUGUGAUCCCUCUGUCCAUUUGGCCAAAGGACCAACAUUGGUAGGCUGCCUACGGCUCUGUCUGUCCUGACAUUAUGGAAAACCAGUUUAUUAGUAUAGGCUUAGCCUGGCGCCCAGUGAUUGUGGUGUCCUUAUUUCGCCUAUUUUCCCUCUAUGUCUAAAGAAUAUAUGUUCUGUGGUUUGCAUUAACUCAUCUGGACACCUGUCUUAGGCCACUGUUCAGUAGCUCUGCCUAAUGCCUACUCUCCUGAUUCUUUUCCUAAUCCCAUAGGAUGGUAGCAAACACCCAUCUGUGCAGUUACCAGUGCCACUUUCCUGUGUUGGAUGGGCUUUGCACUCAGGUGAGC
Long non-coding RNA from Oreochromis aureus, 877 nucleotides. The record is from Ensembl. Lineage: Eukaryota; Metazoa; Chordata; Actinopteri; Cichliformes; Cichlidae.